AGUCGAACGAUGAAGCGACUAGCUUGCUAGUUGUGGAUUAGUGGCGCACGGGUGAGUAAGGUAUAGUUAAUCUGCCCUACACAAGAGGACAACAGUUGGAAACGACUGCUAAUACUCUAUACUCCUGCUUAACAUAAGUUGAGUAGGGAAAGUUUUUCGGUGUAGGAUGAGACUAUAUAGUAUCAGCUAGUUGGUGAGGUAAUGGCUCACCAAGGCUAUGACGCUUAACUGGUCUGAGAGGAUGAUCAGUCACACUGGAACUGAGACACGGUCCAGACUCCUACGGGAGGCAGCAGUAGGGAAUAUUGCGCAAUGGGGGAAACCCUGACGCAGCAACGCCGCGUGGAGGAUGACACUUUUCGGAGCGUAAACUCCUUUUCUUAGGGAAGAAUUCUGACGGUACCUAAGGAAUAAGCACCGGCUAACUCCGUGCCAGCAGCCGCGGUAAUACGGAGGGUGCAAGCGUUACUCGGAAUCACUGGGCGUAAAGGGCGCGUAGGCGGAUUAUCAAGUCUCUUGUGAAAUCCAACGGCUUAACCGUUGAACUGCUUGGGAAACUGGUAAUCUAGAGUGGGGGAGAGGCAGAUGGAAUUGGUGGUGUAGGGGUAAAAUCCGUAGAUAUCACCAAGAAUACCCAUUGCGAAGGCGAUCUGCUGGAACUUAACUGACGCUAAGGCGCGAAAGCGUGGGGAGCAAACAGGAUUAGAUACCCUGGUAGUCCACGCCCUAAACGAUGUAUGCUAGUUGUUGGGGUGCUAGUCAUCUCAGUAAUGCAGCUAACGCAUUAAGCAUACCGCCUGGGGAGUACGGUCGCAAGAUUAAAACUCAAAGGAAUAGACGGGGACCCGCACAAGCGGUGGAGCAUGUGGUUUAAUUCGAAGAUACGCGAAGAACCUUACCUGGGCUUGAUAUCCUAAGAACCUUAUAGAGAUAUGAGGGUGCUAGCUUGCUAGAACUUAGAGACAGGUGCUGCACGGCUGUCGUCAGCUCGUGUCGUGAGAUGUUGGGUUAAGUCCCGCAACGAGCGCAACCCACGUAUUUAGUUGCUAACACUUCGGGUGAGCACUCUAAAUAGACUGCCUUCGUAAGGAGGAGGAAGGUGUGGACGACGUCAAGUCAUCAUGGCCCUUAUGCCCAGGGCGACACACGUGCUACAAUGGCAUAUACAAUGAGACGCAAUACCGCGAGGUGGAGCAAAUCUAUAAAAUAUGUCCCAGUUCGGAUUGUUCUCUGCAACUCGAGAGCAUGAAGCCGGAAUCGCUAGUAAUCGUAGAUCAGCCAUGCUACGGUGAAUACGUUNNNGGGUCUUGUACUCACCGCCCGUCACACCAUGGGAGUUGAUUCACUCGAAGCCGGAAUACUAA
RNAcentral lists this ribosomal RNA (1364 nucleotides) under Campylobacter lari. RNAcentral's name for it is "bacterial SSU rRNA". It matches the Rfam family "Bacterial small subunit ribosomal RNA", at positions 60 to 1438 of the family's 1533-position model. Lineage: Bacteria; Pseudomonadati; Campylobacterota; Epsilonproteobacteria; Campylobacterales; Campylobacteraceae. The record is from RNAcentral.